Herpailurus yagouaroundi (jaguarundi) is the source of this 1123-nucleotide long non-coding RNA. RefSeq lists it as uncharacterized. The transcript is spliced from 9 exons. NCBI's taxonomy places the organism in Eukaryota, Metazoa, Chordata, Mammalia, Carnivora, Felidae. The record is from RefSeq and is a predicted model, not a curated record.
AUAUAAUCAAACUGUGAAGCUGCAUCCACAGAUUUAACUAAAGAACUAUAGGUGUACCAGAGGAAGUCAAAAAAAUUUCAGAAAGUCUUUCAAAUAAAUACAAAUUAAAAGUAGCAUUCUUCAAAAAAAAUACAGAAGGAAGGAAGGAAGAAAAGAAUUGCUUCCUUGUGAACCUAUACCGUCAUCCCUGAAGCGUAAACAGCCACACCAGGUUGAUGGAAAUCAAAUUUUACAUCCAAGCCAAGACAAACACACUUGAAUAUAGUAGCCAACUUCUCUCCAUUUAAGACAGGAAAAUCAAACUUUUCCAAAUUACCAAGGUAUUCACCAACUCAGUAAAUGAAGACUUCUGAAUCAAAAAUUGACACUGCUAUGAAAGAAAACAUUUGCAGUAGAUAUUGUAUAAGGAGAGUGAAGUAAUAGCACCCGAGAGAGAAUAUUAUAAGACAAGUAGAUGCUAAACAGCAUAGAGAUAACUGCAAACAUGAGCAUGGAAGAACUAAGGAAAGAUAUGUAGAAAAAGAACACUUAUAAAGGUCUUUUUGGAAGUACAAGGGAACCUUGCUCAACCAUCAUGUCAUCAUGAAGGAGGGACAAGAAAAGAAUAUAAAACACAGAACUCAAGGCAGAAUGGGAAAGUACCAUCUCACAUCCAAAUAUCAUUAAUUCUAAAAAGCAUUAGAAAAAAUGAAGUAUGCCUGGAGACAAGGCUUACAGCCAAACCAGGAGAACAGCUUUAAUGGGAGUCAUUUGCUAAACCACCUAAUGAAAGUGAAACAAAGAUGAUCAAGAUUAUGACUAUGUGAAGUCUCCCACCCAUCAGAAGCCCUACUGUAAUUGCAUGAAAUGAUCUGGAAAAAAAAAAGAAUAGCCAUCAACUAUAUUCAGCAUGCUCUGUUUAUCUCUUCAGAAACUUCUCCUUCAUGAUGUUUCCCCCCAUCACCCCAGUGAAACAUGCAGACUACCAUGAAGAUAUACUAAAAAUUCUAACACCCUGGAGGAGUCUAAAAUCCCAUUCAGCUGCAAAUCUUCCUGUCAUGGGAGUUGAUUGCCAGCUCUAAUUUUGAGUGAACGCAUUAAACAUGAUGGUGAAAAUAUCAAUUAAAAAAAUCUACUCUCCAUA